Molecule: ribosomal RNA, 569 nt
Filed under: Cheilosia impudens
Lineage: Eukaryota; Metazoa; Arthropoda; Insecta; Diptera; Syrphidae
Description: partial 28S large subunit ribosomal RNA
Source: RNAcentral
AGUACGUGAAACUGCUUAGAGGUUAAGCCCGAUGAACCUGAAUAUCCGUUAUGAAAAAUUCAUCACUAAUACUAUGAUAUUUAUAAUAUUAUAGAAAUAGUGUGCAAUUUUUUCAUAUAAGGACAUUGUAAUCUGUUAAUGUAAUAAAUAUUUAUUAAAAGAUCUUAUACACAAGUUUAUUCAAAUUAGUUAUUUUCGAAUUUCUAACAUAGAAUAAAUGUAUUUGAUUUAAUAAAUCAUUGACAGAUUUAAUUAUAAUAUAGUGCUUAAAUUUUGAACGAAAUUUUACAAUAAUAUGAUAAUUCAAUUUAUUAUGUUUAUUGUAUGCGCUUAUAUGAUUAACAAUGCGAUAGAUUCAGGAUACCUUCGGGACCCGUCUUGAAACACGGACCAAGGAGUCUAACAUAUGUGCAAGUCAUUGGGUAUUUUUAAUAAAACCCAAUGGCAUAAUUAACUUAACUGUUUUUUAAAUGGGAUUAGUUUAUAUUUUAUUAUGAAAUAUUAAUUCAAUCCCGGGGCGUUCUAUAUAGUUAUACAUAAUGAUAUUUAUAUUAUUUAUGCCUCUAACU